AUUGAACGCUGGCGGCAGGCCUAACACAUGCAAGUCGAGCGGAUGAAGGGAGCUUGCUCCUGGAUUCAGCGGCGGACGGGUGAGUAAUGCCUAGGAAUCUGCCUGGUAGUGGGGGAUAACGUCCGGAAACGGGCGCUAAUACCGCAUACGUCCUGAGGGAGAAAGUGGGGGAUCUUCGGACCUCACGCUAUCAGAUGAGCCUAGGUCGGAUUAGCUAGUUGGUGGGGUAAAGGGCUACCAAGGCGACGAUCCGUAACUGGUCUGAGUGGAUGGUCAGCCACAUGGGAGGGUGACCGGGGACCUGAGUCCUGCGGGACGGCGCAGUGGGGAAUGUUAGGCAACAGGGGAGAAUCUUGUACAGCGGGGCGACGUGUGUGGAAGAGGUCUUGCGAUUGUAAAGCAGUUUAAGGUGUGGGGAAGCGCAGUAACUUGAGACGUAGCUGUAUUGACGGUAACGGCAGAAGAAGCACCGGCUAACUACGUG
RNAcentral lists this ribosomal RNA (484 nucleotides) under uncultured bacterium. RNAcentral's name for it is "partial 16S ribosomal RNA". It matches the Rfam family "Bacterial small subunit ribosomal RNA", at positions 29 to 507 of the family's 1533-position model. The record is from RNAcentral.